CAACAUCAGUCUGUUCUGACUGACAUAACACCACGAGGACACCAACAUCAGUCUGUUCGGACUGACACAACAGCAUGGCAGCACCAAUAUCGGCCUGUAUGGACUGCUGUAACACUGUGAUGGCCCCAAUGUCAGCCUGUUCUGAUGGACAUAACACCAUGAGGACCCCAAUGUCAGCCUGGUCCAACUGACACCCCAUGGCAGCACCAACACCAGGCUGUACUGACUGACAUAACACCAUGAGGACAGCAGCAUCAGGCUGUAUUGACUGACAUAACAGCAUGGCAGCACCAAUAUCGGCCUGUAUGGACUGUUGUAACACUGUGAUGGCCCCAAUGUCAGCCUGUACUGCCUGAUAUAACACCACGAUAACACUGACAUCAGCCUGUACUGCCUGAUAUAACACCAUAACACUGACAUCAGCCUGUACUGCCUGAUAUAACACUGUG
This 449-nucleotide long non-coding RNA is filed under the name Gallus gallus (chicken). The record is from RNAcentral. Lineage: Eukaryota; Metazoa; Chordata; Aves; Galliformes; Phasianidae.